AUCCCUCUGCUUCUGCAUCGGCUUCCAGUACUUGAGGAAACCCACCAUCUUAUGCACCACGAUCGUCGGCGAAUCCCCCAAUUUGUCGUUGAACACCAUGUCAUUCCGCGUCUUCCAAAACGCCCACAGCGCACCUGCACAUAGAUAAAGCAGAAACCUUCUUGAUCUAGCUGAUUUACCCUUCAACAAGCCGUCAAAAAUAAUACCACUGGAGUAGUGUCCCAGCCUAGCACAUUUCUAAGGAAAGUCCAAACGAAAUUCGCAACAGGACAUUGGAAGAGGAUGUGGUCUGUGGUUUCAGGGGUAUUGCAUAUUUUACAGUUCACCUCUCCCGACCAGUUGCGUUUUUUCAGUUGCACCGCUGGUUGAAUUUUAUCAUGAAACACCAUCCACAUGAAUAUUUGAAUCUUCAGGGGGACCCUACACCCCCAUACAUCCAUCAUCUGCUCAUCCCUGAUCCCACCAAAGGUUAGUUCUUUGUACAGGGAUUUUGUAGUAUAUUUCCCAAAUCUCUCCAACAUCCAUUUCACCUCAUCUCUUCCUUCUAUUAAGCACACCUCUUCUAGUCUUGUUUGCAACUCAUGCCACUCUUCCAGGUCCUCAGGAUAAAGUCACCUUCUGAAACCAAUCUCCAAAGCUCCACCACUCUGGAUGUCAGCCACAGAGACCUCAGGAUCAGAGCAAAUUUGAUAGAGUUUACCAAACAUUAAUUUCAGUGGGCACUCCCCCAUCCAUGGAUCCUUCCAGAAUCUAGUCUGCAAACCCCCUCUUACAGUUACAAGUCUGCCAAAACCAUACCACUCUUUGACUGAGGGCCUGUUUGGCAACAAGGUGUUAAAGUUUAACACCCGUCACAUCGGAUGUUUGGAUGCUAAUUUGGAGUAUUAAACAUAGGCUAAUUACAAAACUAAUUGCACAGAUGGAGUCUAAUUCGCGAGUCGAAUCUAUUAAGCCUAAUUAGUCCAUGAUUUGACAAUGUGGUGCUACAGUAACCAUUUGCUAAUGAUGGAUUAAUUAGGCUUAAUAGAUUCGUCUCGCGAAUUAGCACAGGGUUCUGCAAUUAGUUUUAUAAUUAGCUCAUGUUUAGUUUUUCUAAUUAGCAUCCGAACAUCCGAUAUUACACUAUUAAAGUUUAACAUCUUGUAUCCAAACACCCCCUGAUAGUAGCCCCCUCCAAAAUUGUGACCCUCACCUUCUUUAUUUGAAAAAUGCUUUUCCAGCCCAGAUAUUUCCUCCUAAGCAGUUCACAGCAAAUGCUAUCAUCUCAUCUUUCAAUAUACGUCUAUUAUAAUAACCUUUAUUUAAAGAAUAUUCGGAGAAUAUAUUAGGUAGCCAAGGGUAAAAAAAAAGGAAAAUCUUUCCUCCCUACUAUAAAACGGGAUCCAGGAUGAUCUCUCUUUAAUGAAAUAACAUCCGAUCCGUUACCAAUUCCUUUGGAGUCUGUCAGCAUCAUUUUUUCACAAAGAACUCUCCGUCCUACUAGAAGCGGAACCAACACGAAUACGAGCAGAUCCGCGUCACCUGUCCGCGAAUUUGCGACACAUAAAGCGGCCAGCACGGGCUCACGCCGCGCGCGCCCCUGUUCUGUCCGCACCUAGACGUAGUCAUUGCAGAGCGACACAUCUGACCUUCAGAUCAGGCGCACCAGCUAGCAUGGCAUCCACGGCGGCGGCGGCGGCGGCGGCGGCGAUGGUGCCGAAGGUGGCCCUGCGGUCGGGCAACGCGACGCCGAUGCCGGCGGUCGGCAUGGGCACGGCGUCGUUCCCCCUGGUGCCCGAGGCCACCAAGAACGCCGUGCUGGCGGCCAUCGAGGUGGGCUACCGCCACUUCGACACCGCCUCCAUGUACGGCACAGAGAAGCCGCUCGGCGAGGCCGUGGCGGAGGCGGUGCGGCGCGGGCUCCUCCAGUCCCGGGAGGAGCUGUUCGUCACCUCCAAGCUGUGGUGCACGCAGAACCACCCGGACCUCGUGCUCCCCUCCCUCCGGGAGACCCUCAAGUAAGAUUAUUCCCGGGCCGAUUCAUGUGAAAUUUCUGAAAACUAAUCUUUCCUCUUGCGUGCCGUGGGAGCAGGAACCUGCAGAUGGAGUACCUGGACCUGUACCUGAUCCACUGGCCGGUCUCCAUCAAGCCCAUGCCAAUAACUUCCCGGAACAAGAAGGAGGACGCCGUGCCGUUCGACGUCGAGGGCGUGUGGC
This 2196-nucleotide long non-coding RNA is filed under the name Setaria italica (foxtail millet). RNAcentral describes it as "long non-coding RNA (SITA_LNC005264)". Lineage: Eukaryota; Viridiplantae; Streptophyta; Magnoliopsida; Poales; Poaceae. The record is from RNAcentral.